Molecule: long non-coding RNA, 830 nt
Organism: Chelonia mydas (Green sea turtle)
Lineage: Eukaryota; Metazoa; Chordata; Testudines; Cheloniidae
Exons: 3
Source: RefSeq, a predicted model, not a curated record
GUUAUGUAAAGCCUCCGCUCAAAUGUGAUUGUAAGAUCUGUAACUUGUAUCAUUAAGUUCUGCAACCUUGUUGCAGACUUUGUAACUUCAGUUACUGUUCGCAUAGCCUUUUAAGUUUUGUAACCUUUGCAAGCUCUGUAACCUUUUUAAGUUACCACUUGUAUGAACUGCCAAGCUUUGUAAUAUCCCAUCACUCAAUCAGAGAGAGUGUGAACAAGGGAGUGUGUGUGUGGAAGAUAAGGGGGUGUGAACAAGGGAGUGUAUGGGGGACUGGGCAGAGAGGAACUGCAAGGAGAAAAGAGCCAGGUGUGUCUGAUAUAAUCUGCCCUGAGAAGGCAACCACGGAGUGCUGUAAAGAAAAGAUGCAUGAAAGGAACAGGGACUGGGAAUGCUUCUCGGUGACGGACACAGAAGAAAAACUCGAUGUACUUGACAGGAGUGCCCAGUUCCAAAAUAAAAGGAAGCAGCCACGCACACAAGCUGCUGCUCCUUUACCUGCUCACCAGCCCAGAUCCAUGACUGCAGGGGGACACACCAGAUCUACCACGCUUCGGCUUCUUGGCUUCCCAUGCUGUCUCCGGUAACCCUCUGUUUGUGUGAGUGUGUGGGUACAUGAGGGAAUGAAUGAGGUGAAUGUGAAUAUGAAUGCAGUAUAUAAAUAAGCUUCUUCCCUUUUCUGUCUGACCUAACAGUGGUAUUGUAAUAAAACUAAUACAAGUGUGACCCUGGGUUGGUGUUUUAGGGGAACAGAGGUAACACCAGUAAGCCAACCAGAGGUUAUGUGUCUUUUACACGGGGUGAAGUACUAUGGCCUGUGAUCACGAUAGUCC